RNAcentral lists this microRNA precursor (68 nucleotides) under Marmota monax (woodchuck). Lineage: Eukaryota; Metazoa; Chordata; Mammalia; Rodentia; Sciuridae. The record is from RNAcentral.
UGUGUGUGUGUGUGUGUGUGUGUGUGUGUGUGUGGGCGCGCGCGCGCGCACGCCCACACACCCACACU